GACGAACGCUGGCGGCGUGCUUAAUACAUGCAAGUCGAACGGAAAGGCCCUGCUUUUGUGGGGUGCUCGAGUGGCGAACGGGUGAGUAACACGUGAGUAACCUGCCCUUGACUUUGGGAUAACUUCAGGAAACUGGGGCUAAUACCGGAUAGGAGCUCUUGCUGCAUGGUGGUGGUUGGAAAGUUUCGGCGGUUGGGGAUGGACUCGCGGCUUAUCAGCUUGUUGGUGGGGUAGUGGCUUACCACGGCUUUGACGGGUAGCCGGCCUGAGAGGGUGACCGGCCACAUUGGGACUGAGAUACGGCCCAGACGGCAACGGGAGGCAGCAGUGGAAAAUAUUACACAGUGGGCGGGAGCCUGAGGCAGCGACGCCCCGUGCGGAAUGACGGCCUUCGAGUGAUAAACCGCUUUCGACUGUGACGAAGCGUGAGUGACGGUAAUGGGUAAAGAAGCACCGGCUAACUACGUG
RNAcentral lists this ribosomal RNA (468 nucleotides) under uncultured bacterium. Its description in RNAcentral is "partial 16S ribosomal RNA". It matches the Rfam family "Bacterial small subunit ribosomal RNA", at positions 28 to 507 of the family's 1533-position model. The record is from RNAcentral.